GAUUUAUACAGAAGAGGGGAGAGAUCGGGCUCUGUAAACCUCUGGCAACCUACCGCAUGGCAAGGUGCUAAUUCCCGCCUAAGACAACCGCAGGUAGCGGCGCUAGGGACUAUAAAUC
Molecule: non-coding RNA, 118 nt
Filed under: Arsenicibacter rosenii
Lineage: Bacteria; Pseudomonadati; Bacteroidota; Cytophagia; Cytophagales; Spirosomataceae
Description: SAM-I sequence
Rfam family: SAM riboswitch aptamer (S box leader)
About the family: The SAM riboswitch is found upstream of a number of genes which code for proteins involved in methionine or cysteine biosynthesis in Gram-positive bacteria.
Source: Rfam by way of RNAcentral